AAGUCGUAAGGAUCAUUAACACGUAUCCAAACGUUAAACAACCCCGUGAACAUACAACCUGCUCUGGUCGCCCGCUCGCAUGGACAAGCCCAGUAAAUCAAGCCCCGGAAAGUUUUUGAUUUGGGACCUCUGUGCGCGUGAGAAAAACUGACAGCGAUUCAUAGAAGCGGUAGGUCAAGAAGAUUGCUAGAGGUCGACCACCGACCGGCUUCCGUGUAUACCGAGCUAACACCGCUCCCUUCCGAACCCCACUUUAUUGCCUUGCCUGUAAGCAUCCAUACGGAUGGGCAGGCCCCCCGAACAACUGUUAACAAUGGAUAUCUUGGUUCUC
This 331-nucleotide unclassified non-coding RNA is filed under the name fungal sp. Its description in RNAcentral is "partial internal transcribed spacer region". The record is from RNAcentral. Lineage: Eukaryota; Fungi.